This 93-nucleotide transfer RNA is filed under the name Immersiella caudata. RNAcentral's name for it is "Cercophora caudata tRNA-Pro". The record is from RNAcentral. Lineage: Eukaryota; Fungi; Ascomycota; Sordariomycetes; Sordariales; Lasiosphaeriaceae.
GGUUCGUUGGUCUAGCGGUAUGAUUCUCGCUUAGGGUAACAACUCUGAGUCACAAUUUGCGACAGGUCCCGGGUUCAAUCCCCGGACGAACCC